UCCAAGUUGGGUUAUAAGAGUGUAAU
RNAcentral lists this non-coding RNA (26 nucleotides) under Rattus norvegicus (Norway rat). The record is from RNAcentral. Lineage: Eukaryota; Metazoa; Chordata; Mammalia; Rodentia; Muridae.